GGACUACCAGGGUUUCUAAUCCCGUUUGCUCCCCUAGCUUUCGCGCCUCAGCGUCAGAAGAGGUCCAGCAGCUCGCUUUCGCCACCGGCGUUCCUUCCAAUAUCAACGCAUUUCACCGCUCCACUGGAAGUUCCAGCUGCCCCUACCUCCCUCCAGCCGAUCAGUAUCCCAGGCACUUUUCCGGUUAAGCCGAAAGAUUUCACCCCAGACUUGAUCGACCGCCUACGCGCCCUUUAAGCCCAGUGAAUCCGAACAACGUUCGCACGGUUCGUCUUACCGCGGCUGCUGGCAC
Molecule: ribosomal RNA, 292 nt
Filed under: uncultured Planctomycetota bacterium
Lineage: Bacteria; Pseudomonadati; Planctomycetota
Description: uncultured planctomycete partial 16S ribosomal RNA
Source: RNAcentral